This 2992-nucleotide long non-coding RNA is filed under the name Sus scrofa (pig). RNAcentral describes it as "lncRNA (ENSSSCG00040020198.1)". The record is from RNAcentral. Lineage: Eukaryota; Metazoa; Chordata; Mammalia; Artiodactyla; Suidae.
CUUUGAGUUCCCAGAGACCCUUGCCUCCUGAAUAAACAUCACGUCAAAGGUUAUCCUCUGUUCUUCCCGUUGAGCCUAAAUUUAGCAAAAUUAAGAUAUGGAUUUUCCUUUAUUCUCUGUGAUCACAAAUGUAAUGUCAGAUUUUUUUCUCCCAGAGAGCUUUUUCAUCCCACCUCUCCUCGGUGUCAGGAUUGUCAGAACCAUAACUUAUUCAUAUUUUUGACCUCUGGGGAGGACAAUAUCCAAAGGGUCAGGGAGUGUUAUUGGAUGUCAGGAUGAAAAUUCACUGCUCUGAGCCAUUUACAGCGUUACAUUUAAUCAGGCCCUUGCGAAUGAGGCUGACACGGUGGCUGCUGUAUUUAAAGAGUGAGUCCUUCCUUAUUAGCAGUUAGGCCAUAUUUGUGCAUUUCCCAAAGUUCUCGGUGUGGGGAACUCUCAGAGCCUACUGGGUUUUCUCCAUAAGGAAGUAGAGGUCUAUGAUAUCUGCCCUGUGCUGGAGUCACCCUCCUCGCCUGCCCAGAGCUGCUGUGAGGCCAGCCAGGAGGGCUGGGGGGCCACGGAGCAUGCCGCUGUGAGCCCGGCCAUCUCAUUCCUGUAGUUCCUCUUCUGGCUGCUUAACCCUCGCAGGGCUCACAGUACAGCUCUUUACCUAGAAUGUCAAGGCCUGGGCAACCCUGGAAGCUUAAUGAUUUUCUGAGAACUGUGUGGAGAGGCCUAGAGGGCUGGAGGAACAAUUAAUCAAUGCUAACUAAUAACAAUAGUUAUUCUCUGAUUCACGGAUGGAAUAAAUCCCUCAUUCCUAACCUGCAGUAGAUACAACCCAGACAUGCUUGGCAGAGCCCAAAGGCUCAUUAGAAUUCUUGCCAGUCAGCAUCUUCUGUGUUUUCCAGAGAGUUCUAUUUUCCCAGUCACUUCGAAUGGCUUGGAAAAAGCUUUUAUAAACCCUACUGUCUUUCAACUGGCUUGUCUCCAUUGCCCUGAGGCAGCUGGUGGGUAAGGUUCUGACUGGGUCAACUCUGGCUGCCGGUGAGAGAGGCAAGCUCAGGGCUUCAGGACGAGGCAGACCUGUGUUUAUGAACUGGACCCACCAUUUUUCUGCUCCAUAACCUUCACCAUGUCACUUAACUGCUCUGAAUCUCAGUUUUUCUCAUUUGCAAAAUGAGAGCAAUAAUUGUUCCUAUCCAAAGGGCCCUGGAGAAGAUUAUGUGAGAUGCUGAAUAUGAAUUGAGGUGAACAUUUUCUCUUCCUCGGAGCUGGUACAGAGAAAUCCUCUGAUGUGGAAAGUAUCCCCUGAUUGACUCACUUGGCGUUGAGCCCCCAGAGCCUGGAUAUUGACAGUCACAUUUCAGAGAAACUGUUCUGCUGAGUAGAGGGAGAGGAAUUGGGAGCCAGGGUGAGGGUGGGACAAGGAAGAGCCAAUAAAAUAGGAAAUGGUGUGUGGAAUGCCCUUCCAAGUGACCCUCCCCCCCUGCUUUUUCUGGGAAACAUUCUAGAGAUAUUGGUGAAGUUGGAUCCCUAGAAAAUGCUGGUGAAGAGGUAGUAAGUAGCCUUGGGUCCAGGUGGCCCAGGGCCCAGUGUGGACAAUGAGGGGCAGAGGGAAAGAGGGGUCGAGGGGCAGGGAAAUUUCACCUCCAAUUCAAGGGGCAGGGUUCCCCCCCCCCCAGCAGACAAGCUUCACUCGGUGUCUGGCUUCUGGUAAAAUGCACAGUAAGUGAUGGUUGCUUUGGUAAAUGUUAGUGUUUUGCUGUGAGCCCAGAGGAGCUGGCAUGUCAGUCCAUUCCUGAGGUGAAGCAGGGCUGGAGAAGCGGAGUCUCCUGCUAUCUCAUUCCAGGUCGGAGGGCUGUGAAGAGAACUACAAAGCUGGACCACUGAGACAGGACUCCAAAUAUUCAUUUUAUCCCAUCUUAUUAACCAUUGGUAGGCUUUUUGUGUCUUAUAGGUAUCAGUAUAAAUCAUUUGCAUUCUGAAUUUCUUUUUUGAAUUCAAAUGCACCUGCUCAAGCUUCUGGAAGCUCAAGAAGGGAAACACCACACUCCUUUGUUGCUCUCCUUCUAGAGAGCAUAGCCAGGGUUUCUCCCAUUGCCAGUCCCCUUGUCUCUGCAUGUCUGAACCCCUCCAAACCUGCCAGGUUCAUCUUGGAUGCCAUUUCACCAUAAAUAUUUCCCUGACCCUACAGCCAGUGGGUGCCUCUCACCUUGGCAUGCCUACUGCAGCUGGAGUUUCCAGCUCUUGUGGCACUUGCCACUGUGUACAGUGCCCGGUGGAUACAUAAUGGGCCUGCGACAUUCACAAAGGAUGCAAAUCACAACUUCCACUCAUCACUAUGGGUAAUGUUUCCAUAGAACUUGGAUUUUCUAUCCAAGAACCAUCUUUACUUUCUUUUCACUUUCCUCAUCUGUUCAAGCACUUACUUUCUUAUGGGAGCCCGUCUUGUUUUUACAAAGCAUCACCGUUUUUACCCCUCCACUCGAACGACUGCAUUGACUGGUGCUGUUCGAUAGAUCUUUCUGCAGUGAUCAAACACGGGGCUGGUUGUUACCAUUUGGGACAGUGCAGUCAUAGGCACGGGCAAAAGGGAAUCACACAGUAUGUGGGUGGCUGGGCUCCCUCGGUGGCUGAGGAACCCGCUACUGCCCUUGUGUCCUUGAAGAGUGCAUGAUUCCAAUACAUGCAGAAUUUCAGCUUGCCUCUCAAGGAAGAGAUAGCAGGAGUUAAAAAUCUUGGCAUGACAAAGGUGAGCCACUUUCUUGCUUUUUUCUUUACCAUCACGACUUCAGGUAAGCACAUUAAAUUUUUUCUGUAGGAGUUCCCAUUAUGGCUCAGUGGUAAUGAACCCAACUAGGAUCUAAGAGGAUGCAGGUUUGAUCCCUGGCCCCACUCACUGGGUUAAGGAUCUGGUAUUGCUGUGGCUGUGGUAUAGGCCAGCAGCUGCAACUCUGAUUUGACCCCUAGCCUGGGACCUUCCAUACGCCACAGGUGUGGCCCUAAAAAG